GAUGAACGCUGGCGGCGUGCUUAACACAUGCAAGUCGAACGAUUGAAGCUGGAGCUUGCUCCGGCCGAUUUAGUGGCGGACGGGUGAGUAACGCGUGGGUAACCUGCCUCAAAGAGGGGGACAACAGUUGGAAACGACUGCUAAUACCGCAUAAGCCCACGGGUCGGCAUCGACCAGAGGGAAAGGAGCAAUCCGCUUUGAGAUGGCCUCGCGUCCGAUUAGCUAGUUGGUGAGGUAACGGCCCACCAAGGCGACGAUCGGUAGCCGGACUGAGAGGUUGAACGGCCACAUUGGGACUGAGACACGGCCCAGACUCCUACGGGAGGCAGCAGUGGGGAAUAUUGGACAAUGGGCGAAAGCCUGAUCCAGCGACGCCGCGUGAGCGAUGAAGUAUUUCGGUAUGUAAAGCUCUAUCAGCAGGGAAGAAAACGACGGUACCUGACUAAGAAGCCCCGGCUAACUACGUG
Molecule: ribosomal RNA, 467 nt
Filed under: uncultured bacterium
Lineage: Bacteria
Description: bacterial SSU rRNA
Rfam family: Bacterial small subunit ribosomal RNA
Source: RNAcentral